AAGCUGUGAGGCGCUCCGGACGAAUGAACUCCCUCAAGAAGGUGCACAGAGUGGUGGCGAGUCCUUUAUUUUAAUGCCAAACUUCAACUUCCUAAGUUUUCUCUUCCAUCCCUGUCUGUGAAGAAUCCGGGGAGUGUGUGAGUGCAAAUACUAGUUUUACCUGCCUGCGGCUGCCACUGCAACGCUUCCCUCUGGAUGAAAACGUCUAGUUGCAGGAAAACAGGCUGAGGGCUCCCACUGAUUCUACAUUAUGCUCUGUGGUAGCUCUGAAGGUGAAUGGCCUUGGAAUCCUGAAAAUCAGCAGUCUAGCAGCCACUGGAGGUGAUGGAACAGUAGUCUGUCUAGCAGCCAUUGGAGGUGACAAAGCAGCCACUUUUGGAGCUCCUGUAAAACCCCAUCCUGAGAAAAGUAUUGCUAUUUGACCUGUAUUGCAGGCAAUUUCUUGAAAAGCUCCAUUCUCAAGAGUUAUCUUUAUUUGGACUGUCUUAGAGCUAGCUCUAUAAAAGCAGCUAUAUUUCAAGUAAAAAAAAAAAAAAUCCGUGGCAACUGUAUAACCCCACAGCAAUCUGAGGCAGCAAUACCAGUCAAGGUAUUGGUGACCAAGUAAUCUGAAAGAUGUCCAUAGGGAACUUUAGAAAGGUUGUACAUGUUCCAGAAAUCAAGAAGUACAUGUACAUGUGUGGGUCUGUGCAUACGGCCUGGAAAGACCUGAGAUCCCAAUCUCUCACCUCUGGCUGAACUUAAGGCUUUGUGCCAUCAGGAAGCAAUAGCUAAGGUAGAGUUGUGAAAUGCCCACUGGCACAUUGAAGAUGUACUUGCAACACAGAGAGAGAGCCCUUCAGCAAAGGUUAGGAGACUGAUUGUUUCUUUAAGAUAUUAAAGAAAAUCUCUAUUUAAUUAUUAAUUAACCAUUAAGCUAAUGAAGGAGAGACUUAAGUAGCCACAAAAAGACUUUAUAGAAUUAGUCCAGGAAAGUCACUAAAUAAACACAAAUCAUCAUUAUCAUCAUCAGCAGCAGCAGCAACAACAGCAACAGCAGACAACAAUAAAAAUAAGCUCCAGUGUGAAGAAUCUGAAUUAGAUUUUUCAUAUUGUAACAUUUUAAAUUUCCAGUUCAAACAAAAAAAUACUACAACGAAAUAGGAAAGUAUAACCUAAACAAAGUGGGGGGAAAACAGCAAUAGAAAUCAUUUGUUAGGAAUCCCAAAUGUUGGAUUUGUUAGAAAAAAUUUUGUGAGCCACCACACCCGGCCCACAAUUUUCUAAUAUGUGUUAAUGCUAUGUGACAAAAUGCCCUGAUUCCUACUGCCAAAGGUUCAACUUAAUGUAUAUACCCCAAAACCCAUGCAUUUUUGCUCUUUUUUGUUUUUUUAAUGGUUGUUGAAGUAAAACAGCCCAUCCUCUUCAAGUCCACCUAUGUUGUUCCUUAGGCAUUCUAUCUUUGCUCAAAUUGUUGAAGGAUGGUGGUUUGUUUCACGGUUUUUUUAUUUGAGACUAAUGAACAUUCUAACAUGAUAAAGGCAAUUAUUACUGUGUAGCCAUGGUUUUCUGAAAAAGAUAUUUUAGAAAUUGUAUUUCAUAUCUUAAAUAAAAUUUGUUUCUAAAUUUCAAAGCUAAAAAAACCCCCAAUCAAGUCAGCAAGUUAAAAGUCAGUUUGGUUGUGUCCUAACAUUUGAAACACACACAUGACUGUUAGUGUGUACACACACACACACACAUACCCCUCAGCACAUAAUCCCCACAAUAUGGCAACGGUCUAUGCAGAAACACAAGAUGAGGUUAUUUUAAAAUGCUUACCUAUUUAGAAUGAAUCUUUGCAAUAUUUCUCUCUUUUUCUUCCCUUAGUGACUUUAUAUUACUGGUUCAUAGGCUUCUAAGUAAUAUUGUCUUUCACCAUUGUUUGAAAAGAUUUAGUCUCUUUCCAAAUUUGUGAAGUUACCAAGUUCAUAAGAAGUUAUGAAGUUCAUAAAGUCUCACAGAAAAAAUAAGUAUUAUCUGCAUGACGUUUUAUAAUUAAUUUAGAAUUUGUUCCAUUUAUAGUUAUAUUUGAAUUCAGCAUUCCCAUUAGGAAGGCUAGGUAGAUAGCCUAGUUUUAAGAAAUUCAGAGCAACAUAAUAAAUAGAAUUGCUACGACUGAAACCCAAAUCUGGAAAUUUUUCGUAUAUAUAUUUUUUAAAUUCUGUGUACCCACAAUCUAGGAACAUUUUAAAGAUCAUUUUUUAGAUAAUUUCCACUACGCUGAUAUUUUAAUUCUUGUCUGUUUGUAGUAAAUAUACACAAAAUAUCAAAAUAAAUCUCUAGGACACAUCUGUUUCCUGUUCAUUGUGCACAUCAUGUUAUAAGCUUUUGGAAUGAAAAUCGACAUUUGAAAACCUCAAGAAAUGACAAUAGCAGCAGCGAUGAUGUUUUUCAGCUCUCACUGCUAAUGUGGGAACUGAUUAUUUAUUUCAAAAGCUUUUAUAAAAUAAAGCAAACCUUGAAUAUAUUCAGCUAGGAAAUAAACCUUGAAAUUAUAUGGUUACCAAUAACAGUAAAUUAGAGUUUCAACAAAUAACUCAGUGAUUUUCUUAAAAAUGCUAAACAUUUCUUAAAUACUUGCCCAGAUUGUUUUUGUUAAUUUUAAGAUGCUUUCAAAAGUUUACACCCAUGCGUGUGCAACAUAUAUACAUAUAUUAUUCUUUCUUUUAGGUAACGCAGUUGGUUAAAGGACCAGAACGCAUUCCUAAACAAGUGUACGUUUUAAAAUAAUCUUAUGUUAUAAGCAGGUUGCCAACUUUUGAUUUGGAAUAGUUUGUUGAAGUUUGCCUUUUGAUCUUAACUAGCUAAAUUAAGAUAGCUUAAAUUAAGAAAUUAGGAAAUCUAAAUUAAUUUAGAUUUUUUAACACCUUAAAAGAUCUAUUUUAAGGACUUGAAAAUUAGAAUUCUUUAGAUGAGAAAACAUGCCUAACAUUCCUUAUUUGAAAUGGAAACUAUUAAUAUUUAAACACAUAUCAGACAUCAAGGACUAAAAAAUUAUGCUAAGGUAAAGAUGAAAUUAUCUCUAUUUCCUUUCCUCUCUUCCUUCCCUUUCUCACUUCCUUCAAGGGAAAGUUUCUGCAGCCUUUGGCUCUUUUUUGUAGAAAUCAAAGAUCCCUCGCUAGGAAUGAAGUCUCUCUGGUCACACACAUAAACAUAUGCAUGUAAAUAUAUAUGUAUGCAUGCAUUUAUAUAUGUAUUCACCUCCCACUCUGUCAGCCAUGUCCCAACAGGUAUUAAAAGUUACAGCAGCAGGAGUUUGGGUAACAUGAAAUAAAGGAGAUGUUUACUGAGGUGUAGACAGAUAAGAGGAAACCAGCAAACCAUCUUGAGUCACCAACUCUUUGCACCCCCAGACCUCAAAGUGCAAAGGAAGGAGCUAGUAUUACCAGUGAGAAUUAGAGUCUUGAAAGGGAGUGGGUGUCCAAUAGAAGCUGUCCUUGUGGAAGGCGCCAGCCAGUGGUUUGAGAUGGGGGAGGGUAAAGUUGUGUGUAGGGUUAGAGGGAGCUAGGGAGGGCAUAAGAAAUGUUUGACAUCUUUCUUUUUCUGCCCUCCAAUAUCCUGCCACUGGCUCCCACUGGCCUAAGCUUCCAGGCGGCAAGGGGAUCCCAUCCAUAUGGAUCAGUCCUCCUGCAACAAAAAGCUGGGUGGAAAAGGGUCCAGAAUGGAUCUAGGGGGCAGUGGCAGCAAAUGGAAAAUAACCAACCCCCGUCUCCAGUGCUUCAUUUUCUCAGUUUGGCUGCCUACUGGCCAGGCAAACUAACCUCUCACAGCUCUGACUGUGUGCUUAGGUAAGUGACCAUUCCUUUAUCUGGGGCUACAACAUGAAAGCAGGCAAGGUCACCCUCUGUCCCGGCUUUCAAGCCCUAGACCUCAUAUUAUGGGUAUUGGUGCUUGGGGGUGUUUUCCAACACUUCCCUCUAAAGUUAGGUUCCCCAUUUCCCAGAGUUAAUUGACCAGGAUGAGUCAAAGUCAGGACAGUAAUCAUCUUGAAGGAGAGAUCCUGGGGGUUCUUAUACAGAACUAGGUAUCAAUUCACUUUCAUGGAGACCAGUUAUUCUCCCAGAAUGACCUUUAACUCAUGUGGGCCACAGUCCUCUCCAGUAACUUCGAUUAGAUAAGGACUUUGGUUAUCAUAUUGGUUCAUACCUCGCAGCUAGUAGAAACUCCCCAGAGGUGCUAAGGUACUCUGUGCUCAAAACAUCAGUGUAUGUAUUCCAAUGAGACAAAAAUUCACCAGGCUAGUAAGGCCCUUGUCCAAAGCUCCAAAAUAUUAUGUUUCUAUAAAAUGAAAAAUUUUUUAUAUCAAACUCAUUAUUCGAUCUUGGUUAACACUAGAGGUUCAGAGCGUAUACACUCUUCGAUGUAUAUAUAUGAAAUAAACUUUUCUGUAUUA
RNAcentral lists this long non-coding RNA (4411 nucleotides) under Homo sapiens (human). RNAcentral describes it as "PELO antisense RNA 1, transcript variant 9 (PELO-AS1)". The record is from RNAcentral. Lineage: Eukaryota; Metazoa; Chordata; Mammalia; Primates; Hominidae.